Molecule: ribosomal RNA, 332 nt
Filed under: uncultured Sorangiineae bacterium
Lineage: Bacteria; Pseudomonadati; Myxococcota; Myxococcia; Myxococcales
Description: bacterial SSU rRNA
Rfam family: Bacterial small subunit ribosomal RNA
Source: RNAcentral
CGUGUAGGCGGCUAUGCAAGUCGGAUGUGAAAGCCCUCGGCUCAACCGGGGAAGUGCACCCGAAACUGCAAAGCUAGAGUCUCGGAGAGGAUCGUGGAAUUCUCGGUGUAGAGGUGAAAUUCGUAGAUAUCGAGAGGAACACCGGUGGCGAAGGCGGCGAUCUGGACGAUGACUGACGCUGAGACGCGAAAGCGUGGGGAGCAAACAGGAUUAGAUACCCUGGUAGUCCACGCCGUAAACGAUGGGUGCUAGGUGUCGCGGGCUUUGACCCCUGCGGUGCCGCAGCUAACGCAUUAAGCACCCCGCCUGGGAAGUACGGCCGCAAGGCUAAA